Molecule: ribosomal RNA, 484 nt
Filed under: uncultured bacterium
Lineage: Bacteria
Description: bacterial SSU rRNA
Rfam family: Bacterial small subunit ribosomal RNA
Source: RNAcentral
AUUGAACGCUGGCGGCAUGCCUUACACAUGCAAGUCGAACGGCAGCACGGGAGCAAUCCUGGUGGCGAGUGGCGAACGGGUGAGUAAUAUAUCGGAACGUGCCCAGUCGUGGGGGAUAACGUAGCGAAAGCUACGCUAAUACCGCAUACGAUCUAUGGAUGAAAGCGGGGGAUCGCAAGACCUCGCGCGAUUGGAGCGGCCGAUAUCAGAUUAGGUAGUUGGUGGGGUAAAAGCCUACCAAGCCUUCGAUCUGUAGCUGGCCUGAGAGGACGACCAGCCACACUGGAACUGAGACACGGUCCAGACUCCUACGGGAGGCAGCAGUGGGGAAUUUUGGACAAUGGGCGCAAGCCUGAUCCAGCAAUGCCGCGUGCAGGAUGAAGGCCUUCGGGUUGUAAACUGCUUUUGUACGGAACGAAACGGUUCUUUCUAAUACAGAGAGCUAAUGACGGUACCGUAAGAAUAAGCACCGGCUAACUACGUG